Molecule: ribosomal RNA, 484 nt
Filed under: uncultured bacterium
Lineage: Bacteria
Description: partial 16S ribosomal RNA
Rfam family: Bacterial small subunit ribosomal RNA
Source: RNAcentral
GACGAACGCUGGCGGCGUGCUUAACACAUGCAAGUCGAACGAUGAAGCCAGCUUGCUGGUGGAUUAGUGGCGAACGGGUGAGUAACACGUGGGUGAUCUGCCCCAAACUUUGGGAUAAGCCUGGGAAACUGGGUCUAAUACCGAAUAUGACCGAUACUCGCAUGGGUGUUGGUGGAAAGCUCCGGCGGUUUGGGAUGGGCCCGCGGCGUAUCAGCUUGUUGGUAAGGUAAUGGCUUACCAAGGCGACGAUGGGUAGCCGGCCUGAGAGGGCGACCGGCCACCCGGGAACUGAGAACCGGUCGAGAGUCCUACGGGAGGCAGCAGUAGGGAAUCUUCCGCAAUGGGCGAAAGCCUGACGGAGCAACGCCGCGUGAGUGAUGAAGGUCUUCGGAUCGUAAAACUCUGUGAUUAGGGAAGAACAAAUGUGUAAGUAACUAUGCACGUCGUGACGGUACCUAAUCAGAAAGCCACGGCUAACUACGUG